GAAAGAUCGGAUUAACUACUGUCCGAUUGGGCUGAGUAUUCGCCCCAAUCAAA
Molecule: non-coding RNA, 53 nt
Organism: Butyrivibrio sp. VCD2006
Lineage: Bacteria; Bacillati; Bacillota; Clostridia; Lachnospirales; Lachnospiraceae
Source: Rfam